RNAcentral lists this ribosomal RNA (301 nucleotides) under uncultured bacterium. RNAcentral's name for it is "partial 16S ribosomal RNA". It matches the Rfam family "Bacterial small subunit ribosomal RNA", at positions 509 to 807 of the family's 1533-position model. The record is from RNAcentral.
CAGUCGCCGCGGGAAUACGAAGGGGGCUAGCGUUGUUCGGAAUUACUGGGCGUAAAGGGCGCGCAGGCGGCCAUUCAAGUUAGAUGUGAAAGCCCUGGGCUCAACCUAGGAAUUGCAUUUGAUACUGUUUGGCUUGAGUUCGGGAGAGGUGAGUGGAAUUCCCAGUGUAGAGGUGAAAUUCGUAGAUAUUGGGAAGAACACCAGUGGCGAAGGCGGCUCACUGGACCGACACUGACGCUGAGGCGCGAAAACGUGGGGAGCAAGCAGGAUUAGAGACCCCUGUAGUCCCUGUCUCUUAUAC